Molecule: long non-coding RNA, 1221 nt
Organism: Astatotilapia calliptera (eastern happy)
Lineage: Eukaryota; Metazoa; Chordata; Actinopteri; Cichliformes; Cichlidae
Source: Ensembl
AGUGCAUAUGAGAGCAUGAGGGUGGGAAUGGAUGUUUGUGUCUGUGUGUGCCUGUAUUUCUGUGUCUAUAUGUCAGGUUGGGUGUCAGGCGCCACCUCUCUGGGGACAUCUCAGGCCCGCCAAGGUUUGGAGGCCUAUCUCCCCCCACCACCACUUCCCCUGCCAGUGGCGGACUCCCUCAGACAUCGGUGCGUUGGUGGUUCUUUGUGUCCGGGGAUGGGCGUCCAGGUACACACCGGCUCACUCCUUGGCGGCCGCUUAUCGGGGCCUGGAGCCUGGGGCUUGCUCGGGCCACUUCGGAGGUGGGGUGCCCCCGGCCUCUCGGCCUGGGGCUCGGUCACUCAGGCACGGCUGGCUGCCGGCGGAGCUCACGGGCGCGUCACUGCAACUCCCCCUGGCUUCUGCUCCGCGGCUGCUGAGUGAGCCCUCAUCUGGGACUCUCCUCAGCUCUUUCUGGGACAGUGGCGCGGCUGCCCCUCUGUUGGUCUUCCUUGGUCUCUUGUGUUCUGGGGGCCUCUGGAUGUCUGGAGUUUUGAUCUCCUCCAUACCUGCUUCAUGCCCUGGAGGACGGGGCUGUGGCCCCCCCACACCCUCUAGCAGAUCAUUACAUGAAGGAACCUUUUAAAAAACAAAAAACAAGCGCGUCCAUGCUCACAGGUGUACACACGGGUGAUCACACCCACAAACUACACCCUUUUUGGCUCCUACCUCAAAGCACACUGUGUUCUGUUGAUCUUAUGUGCUGCACAAUAAUGUUUAAUAUUUAGUAUUUACUGUCAUAUUCCCAUAUAUCAUUGUGAUGUUGUUUAUUCUAUUACUCUUGUUCUCUUCUGCUUGCUUUCUUUUUUCUUUCUCAGCAGGUGAUCCAGGUGAUUGAUAUAUGCAUUUUUUUUCUUUUUUUUUUCUGCUCAUUCUGUUGGUUUAUGUUUUUUGCCCUUCUCCCCCGUCCCUCUUCUCAGCUGUUUCUCUUUCCUUCUUUCUUUCUCCCCUUCUUUCCCCCAGUCAAGUCUGUCCCGUAUUCAGUAAGUGAAAAUAAAAUAAACAAUAAAAGGUGAAUCAAAUGGACCAUUACGGCAAGGCUGGGAUGGUCAAUUUGGUAAAGUAAAUCCGUUGGGCAUCUUUCUUUGCCUUUAGACAACAAUUCUGAUGGCAAAAGAGCUAAACGGGACAGGCAAAAAAAAAAAAAAAAAAAGAGCACAUGGAUGAUACAGCGGAUUGGGA